CCUACGGGUGGCAGCAGUGAGGAAUAUUGGUCAAUGGGCGUAAGCCUGAACCAGCCAAGUCGCGUGAGGGAUGAAGGUUCUCUGGAUCGUAAACCUCUUUUGUAAGGGAAUAAAGUGUGGGACGUGUCCUGUUUUGUAUGUACCUUAUGAAUAAGGAUCGGCUAACUCCGUGCCAGCAGCCGCGGUAAUACGGAGGAUCCGAGCGUUAUCCGGAUUUAUUGGGUUUAAAGGGUGGGUAGGCGGCCGGUUAAGUCAGCGGUGAAAGUCUGUGGCUCAACCAUGGAAUUGCCGUUGAAACUGGGAGGCUUGAGUGUGUGUGAGGCAGGCGGAAUGCGUGGUGUAGCGGUGAAAGGCUUAGAUAUCACGCAGAACCCCGAUUGCGAAGGCAGCCUGCCAAGCCAUGACUGACGCUGAUGCACGAAAGCGUGGGGAUCAAACAGGAUUAGAUACCCCUGUAGUC
This 460-nucleotide ribosomal RNA is filed under the name uncultured bacterium. RNAcentral's name for it is "partial 16S ribosomal RNA". It matches the Rfam family "Bacterial small subunit ribosomal RNA", at positions 338 to 795 of the family's 1533-position model. The record is from RNAcentral.